RNAcentral lists this transfer-messenger RNA (384 nucleotides) under Helicobacter pylori. It matches the Rfam family "transfer-messenger RNA". From Rfam's summary of the family: Bacterial tmRNA, also known as 10Sa RNA or SsrA, is named for its dual tRNA and mRNA-like properties. Its role is to liberate the mRNA from a stalled ribosome. The record is from RNAcentral. Lineage: Bacteria; Pseudomonadati; Campylobacterota; Epsilonproteobacteria; Campylobacterales; Helicobacteraceae.
GGGGCUGACUUGGAUUUCGACAGAUUUCUUGUCGCACAGACAGCAUGCCAAGCGCUACUUGUAAAACAGCAACAAAAAUAACUGUAAACAACACAGAUUACGCUCCAGCUUACGCUAAAGCUGCGUGAGUUAAUCUCCUUUUGGAGCUGGACUGAUUAGAAUUUCUAGCGUUUUAAUCACUCCAUAACCUUAAGCUAGACGCUUUUAAAAGGUGGUUCGCCUUUUAAACUAAGAAACAAGAACUCUUGAACUACCUCAAGGUUUUAGAAAGUUGGACCAGAGCUAGUUUUAAGGCUAAAAACCAACCAAUUUUCUAAGCAUUGUAGAAGUUUGUGUUUAGGACAAGAUUUUUGGACUGGGGUUCGAUUCCCCACAGCUCCACCA